GCGUAUGCAACUUGCCUAUCAGAGGGGGAUAACCCGGCGAAAGUCGGACUAAUACCGCAUGAAGCAGGGAUCCCGCAUGGGAAUAUUUGCUAAAGAUUCAUCGCUGAUAGAUAGGCAUGCGUUCCAUUAGGCAGUUGGCGGGGUAACGGCCCACCAAACCGACGAUGGAUAGGGGUUCUGAGAGGAAGGUCCCCCACAUUGGUACUGAGACACGGACCAAACUCCUACGGGAGGCAGCAGUGAGGAAUAUUGGUCAAUGGCCGAGAGGCUGAACCAGCCAAGUCGCGUGAGGGAUGAAGGUUCUAUGGAUCGUAAACCUCUUUUAUAAGGGAAUAAAGUGCGGGACGUGUCCCGUUUUGUAUGUACCUUAUGUAUAAGGAUCGGCUAACUCCGUGCCAGCAGCCGCGGUAAUACGGAGGAUCCGAGCGUUAUCCGGAUUUAUUGGGUUUAAAGGGUGCGUAGGCGGCCUUUUAAGUCAGCGGUGAAAGUCUGUGGCUCAACCAUAGAAUUGCCGUUGAAACUGGGGGGCUUGAGUAUGUUUGAGGCAGGCGGAAUGCGUGGUGUAGCGGUGAAAUGCAUAGAUAUCACGCAGAACCCCGAUUGCGAAGGCAGCCUGCCAAGCCAUUACUGACGCUGAUGCACGAAAGCGUGGGGAUCAAACAGGAUUAGAUACCCUGGUAGUCCACGCAGUAAACGAUGAUCACUAGCUGUUUGCGAUACACUGUAAGCGGCACAGCGAAAGCGUUAAGUGAUCCACCUGGGGAGUACGCCGGCAACGGUGAAACUCAAAGGAAUUGACGGGGGCC
This 806-nucleotide ribosomal RNA is filed under the name uncultured bacterium. RNAcentral describes it as "bacterial SSU rRNA". It matches the Rfam family "Bacterial small subunit ribosomal RNA", at positions 115 to 921 of the family's 1533-position model. The record is from RNAcentral.